GACUGUAACAACGUCCCAGCUCUUUGUGGCUUUUUGCUGCAACACCUGCAAAAUGGCCCAAUUGGAGUUUUUGCACUGAGUAAUGUUGCCAGAUUAAAACAGAAACACCCCUCUCUGUUUUCAGUAGUAUGCUAUAGCUUGUUGGACACAACUUCAGAGACUUCAGAGUGUUCCAAGGACACCAAAGCUGAGGUAAACAUAGACUUCACCUCUGAGGCUAGUUUCAGGAAAAACACAGCUAAGAAAUAGACUGCUACACAGAUCUUAAAUAGACAAGAGAGAAAGGGAGGAAAGGAUAUAACAUAUAUCCAAGAACUGCUGGAGUGUUAUUGUUUUUUGAAUCUAUCCAGGGAGGAUAUGUUAGGAGAUAAAUGGAAAAAUGGAAAAGCAAAGAUUGGAGCAAUUGGAGAAAACAGCCAAUAAACGAAGGGAAGAGAGAGUCCACUGUGAGUGCUGCAGAGGUAUUCAGACAAUGUUAUCCAUAUCCAUCAGUUCCCACUUGAACAGUGACUGCAGCUGUUCUGUGUUACUUCUUGGCUGGCUCAUCCCUGCAGCUCCCUCGCCUCUCCAUGCUCAUGUGGGUGAAGAAGAUGGAACCUGCAUGAAUCCUGGUGUUCACAAAAAGAGCAUCUCCCAGAGCACAUCUGCUCUUUAAGGAACACAUAAAGAGCCCUUUGUGAAGAAUGUGCAGCUUUCAUCUUGGGUAUGUAAAAAGUGAGGGAGAAUUCUUUUUGGUAGGCUCCUCUUCACCCAGCCAAAAGACAUAGACACUGACAUAAAAGCAAAUGUCACCAAACACAUCUGAGAGUAACUGCAGAGAAACAGAGCUUUUUGGAACAUGAUACAUCAUAUUUUAAGAUAAACGUCCUACAUAUAUUAAGUGAAUUAUAUUUUAAAAGUGCCUAGUUUUUCUCCAUUGACUAUAAAGGGACCCUAGGGUGAGUAGACCAGACACUGUAAAUAUGUCUUAAGACAGCUGA
This 980-nucleotide long non-coding RNA is filed under the name Gallus gallus (chicken). Its description in RNAcentral is "long non-coding RNA NONGGAT001207". Lineage: Eukaryota; Metazoa; Chordata; Aves; Galliformes; Phasianidae. The record is from RNAcentral.